This 2933-nucleotide ribosomal RNA is filed under the name Escherichia coli. RNAcentral describes it as "23S ribosomal RNA". It matches the Rfam family "Bacterial large subunit ribosomal RNA". The record is from RNAcentral. Lineage: Bacteria; Pseudomonadati; Pseudomonadota; Gammaproteobacteria; Enterobacterales; Enterobacteriaceae.
GGGUUGUGAGGUUAAGCGACUAAGCGUACACGGUGGAUGCCCUGGCAGUCAGAGGCGAUGAAGGACGUGCUAAUCUGCGAUAAGCGUCGGUAAGGUGAUAUGAACCGUUAUAACCGGCGAUUUCCGAAUGGGGAAACCCAGUGUGAUUCGUCACACUAUCAUUAACUGAAUCCAUAGGUUAAUGAGGCGAACCGGGGGAACUGAAACAUCUAAGUACCCCGAGGAAAAGAAAUCAACCGAGAUUCCCCCAGUAGCGGCGAGCGAACGGGGAGCAGCCCAGAGCCUGAAUCAGUGUGUGUGUUAGUGGAAGCGUCUGGAAAGGCGCGCGAUACAGGGUGACAGCCCCGUACACAAAAAUGCACAUACUGUGAGCUCGAUGAGUAGGGCGGGACACGUGGUAUCCUGUCUGAAUAUGGGGGGACCAUCCUCCAAGGCUAAAUACUCCUGACUGACCGAUAGUGAACCAGUACCGUGAGGGAAAGGCGAAAAGAACCCCGGCGAGGGGAGUGAAAAAGAACCUGAAACCGUGUACGUACAAGCAGUGGGAGCACAGAGCAAUCUGUGUGACUGCGUACCUUUUGUAUAAUGGGUCAGCGACUUAUAUUCUGUAGCAAGGUUAACCGAAUAGGGGAGCCGAAGGGAAACCGAGUCUUAACUGGGCGUUAAGUUGCAGGGUAUAGACCCGAAACCCGGUGAUCUAGCCAUGGGCAGGUUGAAGGUUGGGUAACACUAACUGGAGGACCGAACCGACUAAUGUUGAAAAAUUAGCGGAUGACUUGUGGCUGGGGGUGAAAGGCCAAUCAAACCGGGAGAUAGCUGGUUCUCCCCGAAAGCUAUUUAGGUAGCGCCUCGUGAAUUCAUCUCCGGGGGUAGAGCACUGUUUCGGCAAGGGGGUCAUCCCGACUUACCAACCCGAUGCAAACUGCGAAUACCGGAGAAUGUUAUCACGGGAGACACACGGCGGGUGCUAACGUCCGUCGUGAAGAGGGAAACAACCCAGACCGCCAGCUAAGGUCCCAAAGUCAUGGUUAAGUGGGAAACGAUGUGGGAAGGCCCAGACAGCCAGGAUGUUGGCUUAGAAGCAGCCAUCAUUUAAAGAAAGCGUAAUAGCUCACUGGUCGAGUCGGCCUGCGCGGAAGAUGUAACGGGGCUAAACCAUGCACCGAAGCUGCGGCAGCGACGCUUAUGCGUUGUUGGGUAGGGGAGCGUUCUGUAAGCCUGCGAAGGUGUGCUGUGAGGCAUGCUGGAGGUAUCAGAAGUGCGAAUGCUGACAUAAGUAACGAUAAAGCGGGUGAAAAGCCCGCUCGCCGGAAGACCAAGGGUUCCUGUCCAACGUUAAUCGGGGCAGGGUGAGUCGACCCCUAAGGCGAGGCCGAAAGGCGUAGUCGAUGGGAAACAGGUUAAUAUUCCUGUACUUGGUGUUACUGCGAAGGGGGGACGGAGAAGGCUAUGUUGGCCGGGCGACGGUUGUCCCGGUUUAAGCGUGUAGGCUGGUUUUCCAGGCAAAUCCGGAAAAUCAAGGCUGAGGCGUGAUGACGAGGCACUACGGUGCUGAAGCAACAAAUGCCCUGCUUCCAGGAAAAGCCUCUAAGCAUCAGGUAACAUCAAAUCGUACCCCAAACCGACACAGGUGGUCAGGUAGAGAAUACCAAGGCGCUUGAGAGAACUCGGGUGAAGGAACUAGGCAAAAUGGUGCCGUAACUUCGGGAGAAGGCACGCUGAUAUGUAGGUGAAGCGACUUGCUCGUGGAGCUGAAAUCAGUCGAAGAUACCAGCUGGCUGCAACUGUUUAUUAAAAACACAGCACUGUGCAAACACGAAAGUGGACGUAUACGGUGUGACGCCUGCCCGGUGCCGGAAGGUUAAUUGAUGGGGUCAGCGCAAGCGAAGCUCUUGAUCGAAGCCCCGGUAAACGGCGGCCGUAACUAUAACGGUCCUAAGGUAGCGAAAUUCCUUGUCGGGUAAGUUCCGACCUGCACGAAUGGCGUAAUGAUGGCCAGGCUGUCUCCACCCGAGACUCAGUGAAAUUGAACUCGCUGUGAAGAUGCAGUGUACCCGCGGCAAGACGGAAAGACCCCGUGAACCUUUACUAUAGCUUGACACUGAACAUUGAGCCUUGAUGUGUAGGAUAGGUGGGAGGCUUUGAAGUGUGGACGCCAGUCUGCAUGGAGCCGACCUUGAAAUACCACCCUUUAAUGUUUGAUGUUCUAACGUGGACCCGUAAUCCGGGUUGCGGACAGUGUCUGGUGGGUAGUUUGACUGGGGCGGUCUCCUCCUAAAGAGUAACGGAGGAGCACGAAGGUUGGCUAAUCCUGGUCGGACAUCAGGAGGUUAGUGCAAUGGCAUAAGCCAGCUUGACUGCGAGCGUGACGGCGCGAGCAGGUGCGAAAGCAGGUCAUAGUGAUCCGGUGGUUCUGAAUGGAAGGGCCAUCGCUCAACGGAUAAAAGGUACUCCGGGGAUAACAGGCUGAUACCGCCCAAGAGUUCAUAUCGACGGCGGUGUUUGGCACCUCGAUGUCGGCUCAUCACAUCCUGGGGCUGAAGUAGGUCCCAAGGGUAUGGCUGUUCGCCAUUUAAAGUGGUACGCGAGCUGGGUUUAGAACGUCGUGAGACAGUUCGGUCCCUAUCUGCCGUGGGCGCUGGAGAACUGAGGGGGGCUGCUCCUAGUACGAGAGGACCGGAGUGGACGCAUCACUGGUGUUCGGGUUGUCAUGCCAAUGGCACUGCCCGGUAGCUAAAUGCGGAAGAGAUAAGUGCUGAAAGCAUCUAAGCACGAAACUUGCCCCGAGAUGAGUUCUCCCUGACUCCUUGAGAGUCCUGAAGGAACGUUGAAGACGACGACGUUGAUAGGCCGGGUGUGUAAGCGCAGCGAUGCGUUGAGCUAACCGGUACUAAUGAACCGUGAGGCUUAACCUUACAACGCCGAAGGUGUUU